Long non-coding RNA from Orcinus orca (killer whale), 28277 nucleotides. RefSeq lists it as uncharacterized. NCBI's taxonomy places the organism in Eukaryota, Metazoa, Chordata, Mammalia, Artiodactyla, Delphinidae. The transcript is spliced from 5 exons. The record is from RefSeq and is a predicted model, not a curated record.
ACCCACAGAACACCACGUGAAGAUGAAGAGAGAUUGCAGGGAUGCAUCUACAGACCAAGGAAUGCCAAAGAUUGCCAGCAAACCAUCAGAAGCUCGGAGAGAGGCAUGGAACAGAUUCUCCCUUGCAGCCCUCCAGGAGAAACCAACCCUGCCAAUGCCUUGAUCUUGGACUUCUAGCCUCCAGAACUGUGAGACAAUGAAAUUUCUCUUGUUUAAGCCAUUCAGUCUGUGGUACUUCGUUAUGGAGGCCCUAGCAAACGAAUACAGAUUUUGGCAUUAUUUAAUGCUUUCUGGACACAGAACAUCUUCCCUGAAGACUGUCUUUAUCCCUGAGUUAAUCAGUCAAGGACUCCAUUUUCAGAAAAUUCUAAGGUAAAGGGGAAAUCUCAUGGAAUGGGAAUUUAAUUACCAAAAUGUUAGUGAGGCUUGGUGUCUCCACAGUACCACUCCCUGAAGCCGUGGAAUGAACAAGCACAGCCCAGAACCCACCCUCACAACUGGGCUCAGAGCUAAGCGUUGCUGGACAUCCCUUGCGACCUGCAGUAGAUUCUCUUAAAAACAAGCACUUGAAUGCAGUGACUUUCUGAGUGCUCUCCACUGAGCUCCCCUUAACAAUGCUCUCUUGCGGACAGUGCCAAGAUAUUUUGGGCUUCCCUCCAUCUCAGUCCAGCCAGGAGUCAGGAAAGCUGUUCCCCGGCUUCCCAGUUCCCAGAGGCCAGGGCAGGUUUCCAUCUGCCUACCACCUGUCGGUAUCUGACCCGUGAGGGGCUGCUGUGGAGACAGCUGGGACAGAGUUGGAAACUCAUUAUGUUAAAGAUGGAGGAGAAGCUUUCUGUAGGCUUGUGUCGUGGGCUGCCUCUUAACAGGGUUUUGUCACUGUUAGAUUUGAGGUUAAAAAAGUGUUUCUUCCUUUGAUGAAAAGAGAUAUUUCUAAAGGAGAGGAGCAUGGGGAAAUAAUGUGGCCAGACCAGUUAUGGAGCCAUUCCGAAUCCUUGCAAAUAUUAUGGUGGCCAUACUGAAUACAACUGAAUUCAAACAACUGUCAGGUUGGUACCAGGCUCCUUGACAAGGGAAGUAUAGGCAUGGAGACUGAACAGGUGGCUGAACCGAUUAGGGAGGAACACGUCCUUCUUGUGCAAAACCUGGAGACCCCGGGCUUUGCUGAGGUCACCGCUGUCAGCUUGCCCUUUUCUCAGUGAAGGUUAUAUUGUCAGACGGACUAAAGGCUUGGGGUGGAGGAAAUUUACUGUGUAAAAUCCAGAUUCUCCAGGACAGAUGAUGUUUCCUUAUCCAAGGGAAAGAAUGUCAACUCGGGUCUCAGUGUUUAGUUCUCUAUCCUGACCCCUUGCCAGCCAGAAUUCGUAGCUGCCAUAAGACACAUCCCAGUGAGCCCCUGCCAACAGGGAGUGCAUGUGGUUGUUUACUUUUGAAGGUUAGCGCGAUGGCAGCUGUUGUUUCUCUCCAUCACCGGAGCUGGUGGACUCGUUUGUUCAGCUGAGUGGGCUGUUUCUCCUGGUGGGAAGAUGUUUAAGGCUUCCGUAGCCAGGGAAGGCUGGGAGGGGCUGGGUGAGGAGUCAGGCAGCUGUGCAGGGGGUGGUCUCUGUCAAGGGCAGAGGGGAACUGGAUAUGUUUGAGGGGUGGGGGAUCUGGAAUAGCAGAGAGAGAAUAUGGUGGGGAUCACACUCAGGGGUUGGGGGCGUCCGGUGAACUGACAGAUGGAAGAGAAGGGAGGGGGCCCCUCCAUCACUCAUGGUGCAGCCAGAAAAGAGAAGUCGUCCAAAAUGUUUUCCACAGAGAGAACUUAAUACAAAGAAUUUAUUACCUGGGAAGAGCUGAGAAGACACAGGGGGUGGUGAGGCAAAUUAGAGAUGAAUAAAGCAAGAAGCCAGCUGUAGCAUCAGGUAUAUUAACUUGAGCACAGAAGCUGGGGCACUGGCUGGAAAUGGGAACCAGUUCGGGCCUGCCGAGUGGGAGCUGGGAUGGUGAAGGGAGGGGCUCCUGGUGGGAGGUGGAGCCACUCAGAGACGCUGCCUGAGGUGAGAAGGUGAAGAACCCUGGCCCCUCCCCAUCCCCAGAGCCGGGGGGGGGGGGGGGGGGGGGUGGGGGGGGUGGGGGGGGGUGGGGGGGGGUGGGGGGUGGGGGGGUGGGGGGGGUGGGGGGUGUUAACAUCUUUAUUGGAGUAUAAUUGCUUUACAAUGGUGUGUUAGUUUCUGCUUUAUAACAAAGUGAAUCAGUUAUACAUAUACAUAUGUUCCCAUAUCUCUUCCCUCUUGCGUCUCCCUCCCUCCCACCCUCCCUAUCCCACCCCUCCAGGCGGUCACAAAGCACUGAGCCGAUAUCCCUGUGCUAUGCGGCUGCUUCCCACUAGCUGUCUACCUUACGUUUGUUAGUGUAUAUAUGUCCAUGAUUCUCUCUCGCUUUGUCACAGCUCACCCUUCCCCCUCCCCAUAUCCUCAAGUCCGUUCUCUAGUAGGUCUGUGUCUUUAUUCCUGUUUCACCCCUAGGUUCUUCAUGACAUUUUUUUUCCUUAAAUUCCAUAUAUAUGUGUUAGCAUACGGUAUUUGUCUCUCUCUUUCUGACUUACUUCACUCUGUAUGACAGACUCUAGGUCUAUCCACCUCAUUACAAAUAGCUCAAUUUCGUUUCUUUUUAUGGCUGAGUAAUAUUCCAUUGUAUAUAUGUGCCACAUCCCCAGAGCGUUUUUCUGUCCCAGACUCCUGGGAAGCCACUUGGCAAGAGAGCCCAAGAAGAGAAAAGAAGAGAAAGCUCAUGGAUGUACUUGAGAGCGGAUGGCAGGUGACCAGCAUAGCCAUGACAGACAGGCACUGGGUUAGGAGCCACUGGGAGGUGCCUGUCAGUGCUGUUAUUGUAUCUCUGGAGAUCCGAAGGGGACCAGAGGGAUCAGAGGGGUGCAUUAAGUUGCCCAAAGGCACACCAGGGCAGAGCCAGAAUUUGAACGUGGGACUGUCCGGCUCUCGGUUCUUCAGUACCAUGCUGAGGAUAGGAUUGGCCUUAUGAGGACAGAGGGUUUCUGGGGAUGCUUGGGCAGAAGCGCACAGAGUCAAGAAGACGUGCAGGUGCAGGGUUAUUAGGUGGGAGGAGGGCCCACAGAUGGGCCAGAGUUGGGAGGACAGUGGAAAGGCUGGGGUGAUGGGGUGAUGUCUGCCCUACUCUGCUUGGAUUCGAGCAUCAGAAUUCUACGAGCAGCCACAGGAAAAAUGAGAAAGCCAUUUGGCCAUGAUUUGGGGGUUGGGGGAAGAAAGAGAGGGAAACUCCAGGUCAUGCCAAGAUUUCAAGCAGGGGGACAGCUCUUUGGUGCAGCUGCAGGCAGAGCGCUUGCUGCAGUGCUGUCCGCUGGGCAGCCGGCUCCAUUCUGGGAAGACAAAGGCCCCGGCAACCCCAGAGCUUUGAGCACACGCAUCUUUUCCGGACUCAGUUGGAUCUCCCCGUGAGCAGCACGGUGCGGAGGUUUGGAAUGGAUAUUUGUGUUGCAACAGUGUUUUCCACGUGGUUGCCUAAAUUAAAUGAUGAGUCUGCAUAAUGUGCUGGGAGGAUUUGAACUCAGAUGGUGAGUCCAUGUUUACUGCAAUGCUGACUAAUUCUUGCACUGCAUCAGGGGAUGGGCUCAGAGUCAUUGAACGUGUUUUUAAAGUUCACAAACAGGUUACCCAAGUACUCACUGCACGGGGUGCAAUCUAUGAAAGGCUUUGUGCUCUUCCUGUGUUCUCUAGAGUGAUGACUCCAAGAUGGUGCCACCAGGAGGUCAAAGCUCCUUUUCUGAGCCCUCCUCCCUGGCAGCUCCUUCUGAAAGGAAGGAGAAGCAUUUUAACCCGUGGCAGCAUCUCAGCCACCAAGCCCCCUGCCCUCCACUGCACCCCGAGAGUGGGGCUUUGAAAACACCCAGUCCUGUGUAAGAGAUCUUUAAAGUGGAUGAAGGACACGCUGCCUUCAAAACGCCCACCUGGAUAAAUAGAAAACUUCUGAAAGCAAGUGUUAACAAUUGAAAGAACAGGGGAAAUUGAAAUGGUACCUUGGCCCCAUGCAUCUUACCAUCCCCAGCCGUACUUCGGAAGUUUCCUUCUGUGGAGGGCAUAGAGCAACGUGGUUCUUCAUCGGGACUGAGUAAAGAGCAUCCGCUUUGAGUCUGAAAAGCUCAGUCUAGCAGCUCCUUUCAUUGGACAGUUUGGCCCAAGGAGCAUUUUAUGAAUUACACUCAUCACAAUAACAUGCCCAGGAAUCUGCUUCUGUGCUUGGAGAAUACUCCCGCUUUAUAAAUGGCCCACUUUAUUUAGCCCAGUGUACACACGCAUGACUGAAUGCUCCCCUGGGAGUGAGGUGGGUGAGAUUGGGGAGGAGGAGGAGGGGGAAGCGAGCAGUCGGUCCAUGUACUGGAAAACGGCGGCCACGAAAUCUGCUGGUGGCCUGGACCUCAUGGUCUAGGACGACGGGACCCGGAGGCCUUGCUCUGACAGAAGCGGCUCUGCCCUAAUGGGUCCUGGGCCCGUGGUCUGCCUGUGGUAGCCACGUGGACAAGUGUUGGUUGCAUGGCUCCUCAGUGCCACCUUCUGCGGAGGUGCUGGGACUCACCAGGAGGUGGCUCUUGUCCCAGAGGACUGCAGAGUCCUACAGUAAACGAAGGAUCAUGGGGCCGGUGGCAGGGUGAGGGUGAGGACACAGGGCGAUCCUUACCUUGGGGGUGGGAUGAGUGGGGGCGGUUGGUGGCCGGUGCUCACUCUUUGGCUGCUGCUUCUGUAUUUGUACAUGGUAACUUCUAAGUGAACUGUGAGUUUGGGGGAAGAAAUUCCCACAGAGCCUCUUUCUCUCAUCUCUUUUCUCUCUCCUCUCUCCCCAUUUUUCCUGUCUCCCUGUGGCGUGAAACCAUGAGCAGUGGUCAUCUUUUCAAAGUUAGUCCAUAGAAUUGGGACCAAGUCCAUCACAGCAAGGCCAGGGCUUCAGAGAAAGUGGACUGAGUCUGGAGAAACACUGAAAUCUGAUUGUCAGGUUCCAGAGACAGGCAUGGUCAGGGCACAGAGCUGGUCGUGGACCAGGUUUGGCUGGUGAGUGAGGACCGUGGAGGUCCAGGAGGACUGCAGGGGUGGAGGGGAGCAGAAGCAGGGAAGAGACCACCCCCAGCAAGAGCUCGUGGACACAGAGGUGACCUCCUGACCCAGUGGGCGGCCUCAUAUGCUCUUGCUGUUGGGCAGAGAGCUGUCUGGGAACCAAGGUCGCCCGGGAGCUGCAGGUGGGCACUGGGCAGGGGGUGAGCUCGGUGAGGAGGUUACGGCAGCAGCGAGGGCAGGUCUGGCACUCGUCUGGAUUUAGUCUGAGCCUUUUUCUGUUUUGCUUAGUUUAUUUCCUGGAGCAUGGACCCAAAGAAGUCCUCCUGACUUCUGAGGGAACUCUGCUUUGGAGUAACUUCUGAGCGAGCUCUGCCCGUCAAGAAGCAACAUCUCGUCGGGACGCUGAGUCCAGGCUGGCUUUCACCUCAGCUUCCUUCAGCUGAUUUUCCUUCCUUGUUCUUCUUUUUUAAAGAGGAGAUGCUGUUUGUUCUGUCAUAUGGAACUGUGAUUACUCACCAAGGAAGGAUGCCCCCUCGAGGCUGUGGCAGGAGCAGGGGAAAUUCCUCUCAACACUGGCCCCGAGGAAUUCUCGUGAUCCUGGUUUCCGUUUUGGUCAAAACUGAGAUGAAAGGACUCGACCCUGCAUUGGGGGGAACUAGAAUUUUGACCCUGAGGGAGGCAGAGCUGGAUGAAAAACGAGCCCUUCUCUGUUCUGUGAACGAGGAGGCACAUCCUGCUGUAAGUUGGACAACUGUUGUGUGUCAGACUUCUGGCUUGGAGCCCGUCCCUAAAUCUUAGCCUCGGGAGGGGAGGAGAAGCAACUGUGGAGAAGGGGCUGAUCUUUUCCCCAUCAAAGUGUUAGAUGACACUCUCCGAUGUCAGCUUAGUCUGCUUGGGCUGCUGUAACAAAAUACCACCGAGUGGGGGCUUAGGAACGACACAUAACUUACUUCUCACAGUUCUGGAAGCUGCAGGUCUGAGACCAGGGUGGCAGCAGCUUCAGUGAGGACGCUCUUCUUGGUCACAGACCUCUCUCUGUGCCCUCACACGGAGGAGGGGCUGUGGGCCCUGUGUGGCCUCUUUUAUACAGACACUAAUCCCACCAUGAGGCCAUUGCUCUCGCGACCUCAUCACCUCCCAAAGGCCUCACCUGCCAACACAAUCACCUUUGAGGGUUAGGGUUUCAGCACGAAUUUUGGGGCAACACAAAUAUUCAGACCAUAGCAUCUACCUGCAUUUUGACUUUGUGUGUUUGUAAUAGUUAUUAGAAAUGCAAUUAGAAAUAGCAGGUUUCCUAGAGAAAGUUUCCAGUUGGUAAAAAUGGGACAACUUAUCUUGGAUGAUGACGGAAAUUUCUAGUUGAAGGAUUUUUUUUACAUCUCCUUACUUCCAGCCACUCUGAUAUAUGUAACUCUGUGAACUUCAUUACUUCUAGAUUUGGUAUUCUCUAAAAAAUUAAAAAAAGAAAUUAAAUUACGCACAUGAAAUCGACCGUAUUAACCAUUUCUAAGUGUGCAGCUCAGUAGUGUUAAGUAUAUUCACAUCGUUGUGCAACCAGUUUCCAGAAUUCUUACUUCUUGCAAAACGGAAACUCCCCAUUCCCCCCUCCCCCAGCCCCUGGCAGACACCCUUCUACUUUCUGUCCCCGUGAAGCUGAUGACUCCAGGAGCCUCACGUAGGCGGCAUCGUACUGUGGUUGUCUUUCUGUGACUGGUUUAUUUCACUGAGCAUAAUGUCCUCAAAGAUUUGGUAUUCUUUUAUUUCAUCUUUAAAAUAAUAUUUCCACUUAACAUCAGAGGGAUAGCCCAUUCAAACUUUGGAAAGGUCAUCGAUAGAAUGUGAAAAAUAUUCUCUAAGCCUGGACAUUUUAAAGGCAUGUAUGUAUCUGGAAAACAGCAUGCUGCUAACAGCAGAGUGGGACAUCUCGGAGGUGAAAGUCACAUGGGCUGACGCCUCCCUGGUGAAGGCAGAGGGGCCGUGUUAAGUGGUGCCAGCCGGAGACCUCGUGUGCAGCAGGGAGCUGAGCCUGCAGGCCUGGGACCAGGGGCAGGGGCGCUCUGCAGAUGUGCCUGCUUGUGGUAGGUGCCCGUGGUCACACUGCUCCCCUGGGGCUGCUGCAACAACUGCCAGCGGAGUGGGUCUGGCAGCCGCGCCAGAGGGGGACAUCUGCCUGGGCUCUCGCCGGAAUGGGAGGACAGGGGGCAGCUGCAGAGAAGCAGAGACGAGGGCAGGAGCGGAGGAGAUGGAAGGCACGCCCUCGACCUCCAUCUCUGCCUCCCGCCCCAACACAGGCCCGCGGUUUGGUCAGGGAAUUCCGAGGAAGCUGUUCCAGUCCUAAGCAGCUGUCCAGCCGAGUCGCACAAAUGCCAGAACCAGGGGGACGGGAGGGGGACACCAGGCCGUUCGUCUCCCAGGCGGGGCCUUUAGACUCUUCUUGGAGUUUCCUUAGGUCUCGGCAGUCAAGCAAAUAAUCUCUAAGCACCGUGACAUCAUCUUUUUCAAAGAAAUGCAGUUUGCUACUGGCAAUAACACAGAUUUCCCACCCACAAGAGCCCAUGUGUUUUCUCACUAUUUAUCAGAACUUUACACUCUGAUGAGUGAUGGAAUACAGUGGCCAUUUGUUACUGCUGUGGCAUUGUUUGCUGUCAGGAAUGACACUGGAACAAAGAGGUAAUCAGUUAAACGAUUGCAUUCAAAAUUUAUUCUCUCUGGAGGGAGUAUACACACACUCACAUAGCAAUAGGGUUAAUGUGUGCAGCCUUUAUAAAUGAUCUGUGUAGUAAUUUUCACUUUAAAAUACCGUGUUCCCAUCCGUCGUCUCAUUCGGGUGUCACGAGAAUGCUUAUAGGGUUGCUGCAGUUGGCAAGAAUGAGACUUAGAGGAGAAAUGCUUGUCCGUGGCCGUAUAGGAGGUCCACUGGGGCUGCAAUAUAGGCCUCCCGACUCUUAAACCAGAGCUUUUCCCUCUAAACUGUACUUGAGAAGAAGAAUGUGUCAGAACCAGAGCAAGAGAUAGACUGUUUCUCCUCCUGACUGGCAGGGCUUCUCCCACGUCCAGCCCGAGCAAUCCUGAGGUGUCCAAUUAGCGAUGACUUGAAAAUCAAGGGGAUGUAACUGUGAGGUUGAACUGUGCAAAACUUCCAUUUUUAAACAGGUUAAAGUAUUCAAGUAUCAACAAUUUCAUGUUUCAAAUGAAUCGGUCUCCCUAGAUUUGCAUAGGUUGCAUUUCCCAUGCAGCAUCAAAUUGGUCAUUUUGUUGGUUAAUUUGGCCCGUUGCUUUCCUCUCCAUUUUGCUGCCCCUUGAUCCGCUCUGCAGUGGCAGCAGAGCAUUAUUUUCGUGGCCUCCAUGACCAAAUGGAGCCAGCCACAGAGGCAGCAGGCCAAACUGUGCAGUUAAACCCAAACCAGGCGAUUCAGGGUCAUGUAAAUAUGACUCACGAAUGACCAGCCCGCAGGAAGUUUCAACAGGUCUAACUGGCUCCUUGUUCCUGCACAUUUUACCUGUAAAGGGAACUAAAUUGGUACUCUUUUCCAUUCAUCUGGCAUAUUUGAUGCAUGUGUUCUGGUGAGUGGGAGACAGCUGAUUUCCAAGGCUGUUGCAGAGGGAUGAUUAGAAAAGCAGGAGGGUAUCUUGGCCAAAUGUCAAGAAUGAAGGAAGGGGCAGUGAGUCAAGUGGCUAAAGAGACACACAUUAGAGUCAUUCAUUCUUAACCGCUUGGCAGAAGCUGGAACCUCGCACCGCUGGCCAGGCUUCCCACCAUCUGGAGCGAAAUCAGGACACUCCCACCAGGGCUAGAAGGGCUCCAAGUGGGGGCAGCUGACAGAAGGGCCACGGCCGCAUGGCAGGAACACAGACAGAGGAGGACAGUGCUUUCUGCAUUUUCUUUUCUGGUUAUGAGAUGCUUUUGUGAACUGCUGGAGACUGGUCACAGAGUGAUUAAGCUGGACAGCUUCUGGCGCUGCUGCCCUGGAGGCGCAGUGUUUUGAAGGUGCUGCACCCCAGAUUUCUCAGGGUCCCUUUUCUGGCAAUAAAGACUUCAUUUCUCUUGGUACUCCACAUGGUCAGAGCCCAGGCUGAAGAACCCUGAUUCCCACGGCAAAAUUACAGACCCAGCGAGCUAGAGUUAGAAAGAUAGGGCCCGGGCAGCGUCCACAAGCCCAGUUCCAACGUUGCAGAGCCUGCUGGAGGGAAGCAAAGACUUCCAUAAGCCAAGGGAUAGAGGCAUGCAGGAGGUCAGCUCUCCGGGGAAAAUGCACGACGACUCUGAUUUGUAACAUCUGCUGAUUGCCGUGGUGUCAAAAUACUCCCACUGUGACCAGUUUCAAACCACCAAUAGUUUAACAACCGGCUUGCAAAAUUUCUGGAUGUUUGAUAAUCUUUCCCCAGCCUGGACAGCUUGAACGCAGCAUGACUUGGUGGCAUAAAAACUAGAGUCGGGCAAAUGCACGAGCUGAGGUUUAACACGAGGGGUCCUGGCGUGGAAGCGUCUCAGGGCCGACUGUCCCCUCCGUCUCCUGCUUCCCUCCCUUCCUCCUAAGCUUGCUCCCUGGACCAGUCGCUGCUCGGGACAAGGGUUCUGGUCUCAGGCUCUGACCUUUAACACUGUGCCCGCCCAGUCACAUCCCGAAGCACCCAAAGCCCCACGACUUCCUAGAUGAGCUCACACAGGUGCUGGGCUCUCAACCGCUCUCCCUGUACCCAAGCCAAGGGCCUACCUGCCAGGAGGCUGCUGCAAGCCUCCUGUUGGGACACUGGUGAGGGGGUCCCAUAGCUGGAGCAUGGGUGGUCUCAGAUGCCUCCCCUAGUGGUCCCUAUGUGGAGUUUAAAAUGGCACCUCCAUGAGUAAAAAUUCAGUUAACUUGUUAGGAAGGUAGAACCCAGCUUUUUAUGUAGGAUGGGUUUAUUCAGAAAGAAAUUCCCAUGACUCCCAACUGAAAGAAUUCAGAAUUUAAUGAUAAAUCUAUCUUCCAAUUAUGCACACUAGGGCUGUGUCAUCUGCAUUUCGGCAAACACAUUUUUAGCUAAGCCUCAGGUUCCUUAUUUGUGAAACUGAGUGGCCAUAGUGAACUGACCUGUAAGGCAUCUGUCUGUUCUAUGCUUCUGGGAUUCUACUUACGGUCAGUGCACGUUUCUCUACACUUCUCUAUAUGGUUUUUGGUCCUUUAUAAAUUUUAUCGUUGUUUUUUUCUGCUCCUGGGACAUCUGGUAUUCCACUAAACAUCAUUAUUUAGCUGUGCCACAAAUAACUGUUUUUUGGCUAAAUGAACUCGGAGGGCAUUCUAGGUUAAACCAGUACUUUGCUGAGCAUCUUCCUCAGAAUCUCUGAUAUUCUAGGGUGCAUUGUGUAACUCCAAAAGGGAAACUUAAUGCUCAUGGAGUCCCAGACUUUUUGAUCUCAAAUGGUUUUUUUCUAAGGACAGUGUAUCAAUCUUCCAGGGCUGCUGUAUCAAAAUGCCACAAAUUGGGUGGCUUAAACAACAGAAAUUAUUUUUUUUUCAUGGUUUUAGAGGCCGGAAGUUCAAAAUCGAGGUAUUGGCAGGGCUGUGUACUCCCCGAGGGGUGAGUCUGUUCCAUGCCUUUUCUUCAGCUCCUGGUCUUGCCCGCAGCCCUUGGUGUUCCACAGCUUGUAGAUGCAUCGCUCCAGUCUCUGCUCUGUCACACGUGCGAUCUCUCUUUGUGUCUCUGCAUCUUUCCUCUCCCAGGAAGGCUGCACAGACACCAGUCACACUGCAUUAGGACCACCCUACUUGAAUACGACCUCAUCUUAACCUGAUCACAUCUGCAAAGGCCCCUUUUCCAAAGAAGGUCACAGUCACAGGUACCAGGGGUACAGAUGUCAACAUACCUUUCGCGGGACGCAAUUCAACCCGCAACAGCCAGCCAUUAAAAUUUCCUAAAACUGGUGGUCCAGCAAACACAUUUUGGGAAAUGCUGUCCCAGGAGCUUGUAAUUAGGAUUCACUCACCAGGUAUGUGGUCCAACCCUUAGGUCAAGAGUUCUUAACGUGAUAUCAAGGGGUUUGUGCCCUUGGAUGAGAAAAAAAUUGUAUCUUUAUUUGUACUAUUUCUGAUUGAAAUUUAGCAUUUCCUUCAUUUUUCAGUGUAGGCAACAAAGCAAAGUAAUAUCACUAGUACUGUGACUUUGUCAGAGUUUUCCACCUCAUACUACAGUUAUUGCAGGUCUCUUGGGACAUCAUUCAUAAAUCAUCACCAUCUCAAAAUCACAGUGGGUGUGAGACUCGGCACUAGAUCUUAUUUAAUGGGUUAACAAGCAAACACAUAAUGCAGAUCUGUUUUAGUAUUUUGAUAACUGUAUUUCAACCUCAUCAGUUUCCUUUGUAAUCCUUUAUAUUUUCUUUUAUACACUUAAAAACACUAUUCUGAGCAGACUGUAGGCUUCACCAUUCAGCCAAAGUCCACCCUGACCCAAAAAAGUUAAGAGCCUCUGUCCCCACUCAUGGCCCCCAUGACUGAUACAACCCAGCUUCCGUAGAAGGGUUUAGCUGAGAGACAAAACACUAGCAGAAUCUUUCCAUUUUUACAAAUAAAGAAUUAAUACAUAAGCCAAACACAAAUAUUAUAAAAUACUUUAUUUGUAAAUGAAAUACCCAAUUGGGGCAAAAUGUAAAAAUGAAAUAGACAUAGGUACAAUAAGUUAUACAAGAAUCUUCAAUUAUCGUCGCUCUGUAUUGAUUAUAAAUAGAUCACAUUACCAAGGAAAGCAUUGUCUAGGUGUUGGGAUAAUUUAGUUAAAAGUAUCUGAAUAACUUACUAGACACAUUCCUCUUGGUGUGUGAACAAAUGUAUCAAAUAAUUGAACAUACUCAACUAUACUCCCUGUGAAAACUGCAAAGUCCUGGUCAGACGAGGCUAAACCUCUGAGCUGCAUGAAUGAGCUUGGUCACAUUGUGGUCCAGUCUUGGAAGGAUCACUGACACAUAACCCCUGGAGCACUUUGGCCUCGGUGAAAGCACCAGAGCGUCGAGAGGCUGAAUUCCAGCUGGGCUCUGCCCCUGAACAUUUAAGGAACUAAGCACGUCGUCUGAUUCUGAGCCUGUUUCCUCAUCUGUGAAAAAUGGGGAUGCUGAUGUGUGUCCUUUCUGUCUCCCAGGGCAACUAGUAGAUUUGAUUGAGAUAACCGAUGUAAAAGUUCUUCGUAUGUAGAAGUGCUGUAUGAGGAUGAGACAUAGAACUAUUCUUUCAUUCUUUAAUGUGCCAACAUCCAAAUGGGCAUAAAUUGAUGGCAUUCUCUUGUAUAUAAGGAGAAAAUUAAUAUAUAUGUAUUUUUUUCAUGGACACUCAAAUGCCAGUGUCCCCCCCCCCGCCAUCAUUAAGUGCCUGGAAAGGCAUUGGAGGUCCCAGCAAGGCUGCAGGGAAGUGGGCCUGGGUGCUCCUGGGCUUCCGUUUGCCACCUCCUUCCCCUCAAGGUCCCCCCCCCACCUAUCUCCUUUCUGCCAAGCCCUCCCUUAUGUACUCCCCGCGCCCCAGCCUGUGCUUCCCACCUUCCUGUCCUUCAGAAUGUUCCAUCUUGCAGUUUGUUCCCACGGGGCAGUGGUCCUCACUGUUGGCUGGACGUUAGAACUAUCUGGGGAGGCUUUUCUCUGUCCUGAUGGGGGGACCCCCACCCAGAUGACUACAUCAGGGUCUCUGAGGGAGGGCCUGGCGUCAGUAUUUUAAGGCGCCCCCGGUGCAAGUGCCACCCGGGUGUUGCCUGGAGGUUGAUCGGAAAAUUGGAGUCCCUGUUCACCUGCAGCCAGCUAUCCCUCCCAGGGAGGCUUUGUUUAACUCAGGCCAAUCGUCUUAAGUUUUCUUAAAGAAGGUUCCCCCAGCGCACCUCACUCCGGUUCCCACUGCUUCCGUCCACCCUCAUGACAUUCUCCGGGAGCGUUAUCCUCAUUCCAAUCCAUCCCCCUAGGGAGACUCAACCACUUAAACGUGGUUUAAGCCGAAGCCAUGCACUUCCUUCCCAGAGCAUCGAGGUGCCUUUCUGAGGAACAGGGCCUCCUGCUGAGAUGGGCAGCUGCCCCAAGCCCUGCAUCCGGGCUCACCUGGAUGCCUCGCCUGCGCCUCUGUGUUCCGCUGCAUCAGGGAGAGGAUUUCGGAGAGGAGCUGUGGCUUCUGCUCCCUUUACACUUUCUCGCGGCCAGUUCUCUCCUCCACUGCUUUGCACAUUCAUAGGGAGGGCUGAAGGCUGGAGCUGGGGGAACUGUUUCCAAGCAGGCAGGUGCACAGCCCUGCAGCCUGCAGGAACAUGCUCAGCCCAGGAGUGUUAGCUCUGCACCUGCAGUCUUGUGUCUUCCUCAACCUGGGCCCCUCAUCUAGGUGUUCCAGGGGUCUGCAUCCGCCCUGCUCGGGGCGCAGGCACGAUCCCAAGACGCUGUUGCUAUUGCCCCGUGGCAGGGUUCUGACCUCCUGAGUCCUAGGCGGCUGCCAUCACCAUGGGAUUUAAAGGCCAUAUAGAAAGGCCCCCCACUGGGUCCCUCUAGUCUUCCCAGGUCCCCGACACUCCCACCUUUGAGAGCUGCUCCUUUGCCAAAUCAUUGCAUCUCCAAGAGCCCUGGGUUGGAAGGUUUGCACCCUACGAGGACUCAUCCAUUCAUCUCUCAUCUGGUGUUGCCCCUUCCGGAGCCCCGAACUGAAGCAGGAAUGUGCUCUGAGGUCUGGACUCGCACUUGUGUGCUCUUGGGCAAAUCACUCGCCUUCCUGAGGAUCAGUGUUCUCAUCAAAGAAACAAAGAUUUUCAUAUUUUCCCCACAUAUUUCUACAGGACUGUGGUUGAGAUCAUUGGAGAUAACAGACAAGAAAUGGAUUUUUCUACAGCAAAGCCCAUUUGACAACGUGUAAGACAGUUUCAUUACUGUUAUCGGAAAAAAAAUGUGUGGGUCUGCUUUGUGCACUGCAGCUCGCUGACGGCGAGGGGCAGAGUUUGGAGGAAAAAGGUGCUGCAGUGGAAGCUCAUGAUGUCCUGAGGGUGAGCCCAGGGUCAUGGGAAUCUGGGGAAGACAGCCUGAGUGGGGAGGAAAGAAAAUUAAUUGGGAAAUGCUGGCCAACUUCCCUUAUUCCACAUUGUGCCAGGAGCCAGCUCAGCCACCACUGGGAUAGGUGAUGAAGAAGCAGCAAGCCCUCCGCUAGCUCCCAUGUGCGUAUUUCAGACUCAGCAGGAGGGUGGGCCACUGACAAGAAUAAUACAGACCAGCAGGCAGGGCAGGAGACACCCGAAAGGAAAACAAGGAAACAGGUUUGAGCUGGGCCUGGCCUCCUUGGCGUGGACUGCCUGACUGGCACCAGGCUUCUAGGGUGGCCCUGGGUGUGGUGCUUGAUGGGGCCAGUAGAGCAUCCACCAGGCUCAGCACCCAGGCCUUGGGGAAGCUCACUUGUGCAGGGGGGUAGGACCUUAGCCUUGCAACCAGGCUGGGUGAGGCAGGCUCAGUGCAGAGCACUUCCUUCUUUGGGGGUCAUGUGUCCCUUGUGAUUAGAGAGAUUGGGGCACCUGCUUCUUCAGGACCACCUUGUGUGGUCCAGGCUCUGCCCUGUCUUCCCAAGAGACUGUGCCUGUAGGCAAGUCACAUCACCUCUCCAGGCUGUCCUGUUCAUUUCUGUAAGGCGAGGAGAGUGGCCAGUAUGACCUCCAGGACCCUUCCAGCUCGGCAUCAGGUUGCCCUAUGAUCCAAGCCUAGUUUCUAAGGAACCCGAGAAACAAUAUGGCGUAUAUGACUGGAGCCCAUGGAUUGAGUGUUUAAAUUUUUUCUGAAAUUAUAAGAUCUUUCACAUUAAAACCAAUACUGAAGUAUGGCAUGCCUCAAAAAAUUAAACAUAGAAUUAUCAUAUGAUCCAGAAAUUCCACUUCUGGGUAUACACCCUUAAGAAUUGUAAGCAGAGAUUCAUACAGUUGCACACCAAUGUCCACAGCAGUAUUAUUCACAACAGCCAAAAAAGGUGGAAACAACCCAAAUGUCCAGUGAAGGAUGAAUGGAAACAAAAAGUGAUACAUAUACACAAUGGGAUGUUAUUCAGUAUGAAGAAGGAAGGGAUUCUGACACGUUCUACAAUCUUGAGGACAUUAUGCUCAGUGAAGUAAGCCAGCCACAAAAGGAUAAAUACUGUAUGUGUACCUAUAUGAGGUACUUAGAAUAGGCAAAUUCAUAGAGACAGGCAGUCGAAUGCUGGUUACUAGGAUCUGAGGGAGAAGAAAGUGGGGAGUUAGUGUUCAGUGGGUGCAGAGUGUCAGUUUGGGAAGAUGGAAAGUUCUGGAGAGGAUGUAGGUGGGGGCUGUACAACACUGUGAGUGCACUUUACACCCCUGAAAUGGACACGUAAAAUGGUUAAUUUUAUGUAUAUUUCAUCAGAAUAAAACAAAUACUGGAAUAUUUAUGCAUGUUAAUGGUUUUAAUUUGGUAUACAAAAUAAUGGUAAUGAAGCAUAAUUCCUGCUGGUUUGUGGCCCUCUUGCUGAUAUGAAGAAUGAAACCAGUCACUGAAUAAUUAACUUAAAAAAUCAGUUAAAGUGGGGAAUUACUAAAAAUGAUGCUCCUGUACUAUAUUGUAAUUUAACUCAAAAUUUCUAAAUGUACAUUUAAUCAUCAGUUUUGGGGUCUUUUUCUUUGGGUGUAGGUUUGCUGAGUGGAGUUCAGCAUGGUCUCCCUUGCACAAACCACACCCAAGGUAUAUCAUUUACAGAUUCUAGUUUCAGAGUGUUUGCAGUGGAAUGAGGUCUUAGAGACACUUGUGAAUAAAAAUGAAGGCAGAGUUCUCCUAGAUUCUUAUGACCCUUCUCCAUCGCCAGUGCUUUUAUAAUUGUAUCAGCUCACCUAAUUCCACAUCUCUAUGUCUGUAUAACUCUCUGUCCAUAUAAACAUAUUUAAAUAGCUAGUCUUUAUGAAGCUUUCUCAAGGCAUUCAAUGCAUUGUGUUCUGGAACAACCAGGCUGCACAGCCUUAGGAACACACACCAUUCCUAGUUUGCAAGCAUAAAGCCCAAUGGGAGAAAGCAGAAGUGCACACUUCAUCAUAAGACAAGUGAAAAGAUAAGCCGUAAUGCGGGAAAAGAUACUUGUGACACAAAAACUGACAAAGGAGUAGGAUGUCAACCACAUAAAGAACUUAACCAAAUCCAUAAAAAGAAAUAACCCAGUAGGAAAAUGAGCUUAACACUUGGACAGGCAUGAAACCAAAGAGGAAAGCCAAAUGGACGCUACUCAGAAAAGAGGUUCAACUUCAUUAGUAAUCAGGGAAAUGCAAACUGAAACCCCAACGAGGUAACACUACAUAUGAGACAGGCAAAAACUAGGAAUGCUGAAAAUACUAACUGUCGGCAAGUAUUUGGGGCAGCAGAAACUCUGGGGAAAGUUGUAACCUGCUAAUAACCUCUUUGGGAAGCAGCUUGUGUUGUCUAUGGAGAUUGAAGACACACACACCCUGUGGUCCCGCACGUCCACUCUCAGGUCGAUUCCUGGAGAAACCCAGGCAGAGGUGCACCAGAGUGUACAUACGGCAGGAGUGCUCAUGGCAGCCUGGCUCACUCAGCUCAACCCAAACCACUCAACACCUGUAGGAUAGGUACAUAAAUUCUAAUACGGUCGAACAAUGAAAUACUAUGUAACAAUGAAAAUGGACAAACUUUACACAAAACAACAGGAGUAAAUCUUCAGGGCAUAGUAUCAAGCAAUAGGAGCAAGACAGAGAAUACCUUGCGAUCACAUUUAUUUCAGGUUGAAAAGCAGGCAAAGCUAAGCUCUGGUGUAUCAUUUGGCGAUGUAUAUACAUAGAUGGUUACCUCUGGGGGUGUUGUGGGCUGAAUGUUGCAGUUUGAACCUCCCAUGUGAUGGUAUUGGGGGAUGGGGCCUUUGGGAGGUGAUGUUUAGACAGGUCAUGAGGCCAUGUGGAGCCAUCGUGAUGGGCUUAUAAGAGGAGACCAGAGAGCUUGCUUCCUCUUCCUCUCUCUGCCAUGUGAGGCCACAGCGAGAAGGCAGCCGUCUGCAAGCCAGGAAUGGAUUCUCACCUGAACCAGACCCUGCUGACACCCUGAUCUUGGCCUCCCAGCCUCCAGAACUGUGAGAAAUAAAUGUCUGUUGUUUAAGCCACCCAGUCUGUGUGGUAUUUUAGCAGCCCAGGCAGACUAAUACAGGGGCGUUGGGUGUGUUUUCAGUUGGGAGGGACAUAAGGGGGGCUUCCAGGUAUUGGCAGUGAGGCCCCAAGGAGGGUUACACAAGAGUGUACUCUCUGAUUAUUCAUUAAACUCCAUGUGUAUGUUCUAUUUAUGUAAAGGUAUGUAAAUUUCAAAGCAAUCAUUCACACUAAGAAUGAAUAAAGGAGUAUGUGGGUGUGCCAGCAAGUAGCUUCCUUGAUGCCUGGCUUCUUUUUUUUAAAAAAUAUUUUGUGACACUAUGUUUAUUUUUUAUUUUUUAAUUUUUUUGCGGUACACGGGCCUCUCACUGCUGUGGCCUCUCCCGUUGUGGAGCACAGGCUCCGGACGCGCAGGCUCAGCGGCCAUGGCUCACGGGCCCAGCUGCUCCGUGGCAUGUGGGGUCUUCCCGGACCGGGGCACGAACCCGUGUCCCCUGCAUCGGCAGGUGGACUCCCAACCACUGCGCCACCAGGGAAGCCCUAUAUUUUUAAUUUUUAUUUUAUUUUAAUGUGGACCAUUUUUAAAGUCUUUAUUGAAUUUGUUACACUAUUGCUUCUGUUUUAUGUUUUGAUUUUUUGGCCAUGAGGCAUGUGGGAUCUUAGCUCCCCGACCAGGGAUCGAACCUGCACCCCCUGCAUUGGAAGGUGAAGUCUUAACCACUGGACCGGAUGCCUGGCUUCUUGAUUGUGGCAUGUCUUAUGAGGGGACAGGGGGCCGUGGUUAAUCCAGGAACCCGAUCAGGUGGAGCUGUGGUGGAGGAGGUGAGGGGGUGUCUGAGAAAACAUGAUAAAAAGGAAAUACUGAUACAUUCAGGUUGAGAAUAGAGGUUCUGAGGAGUUAUAAUAUUUUAUUUUUCAUUUUACAUUAUUACAUAACCCACAAUAUGACAAAUGAAAUGCAUUUUACUCUUUUUGGUGACAGUUCCGUUGAGUUCCUUCUCUGGCCCAGUCUUCGUAUCUGGGAGAAAAUGAGCAUUUUCUGGGUAUUUGUAGGUAUAAUCUGGAUAAAGGCAGAAAAAGGAAUUGUUUUCAGAAGUAUUAUGACAAUAUAUAAAGCAUAGUAAAGGGAUGUAAUCUCAGAAAAUAUUCAAAGCCUACCUCUACUUCCAAAGUGACCCUGUGGAACUUUGGCAGGAUCCCACAGAAGCCUGGGCUUCUUGCAGUGGAGCUUGAAAACCCUGCUGUAGGAAGGAGGGACCCAGCCCUGGGCGUGUGGGGGAGAAAGGAAAGCUGAGUAAUUCCUAACUCUAAGGGCAUAUUCUUCCCAACUGCAUCAUAGCUUUGCUACAUCUCGGAGCUGUUGGCCUGUGGGUCUGAUAACUGAGGUACUGAGAGAAGAGGACCUGCCCUCCUCUACUCCCUUCCCUUGUCACCCAGUGUCACCACUGUCUCAUUUCAUUUGUGUUCAGUAUGUGUUUGUUGAAUUAAAUUCUUGAAAGCAUCCAAACGGAACUCAAAGAGCUUUGGGGAUUCAGAGGGGUGAGACUUUCUAAGGGGUUAUUUCUGCUUGGGAAAUGGGGCGAGACUUCAUGAGAGGGAAGGAUACUGAGCUGAGCUUUGAAGAAUGAAGAGGGGCUGUAGACAAGGUUGGAUUUGAGAGAGGAGGUUGAAAAGGCACAAGGCAACAAGGACAAAGCAUGCUUGGAGAUCGCGGUGGUACUUGUUUGGCCGAGCCUGUGGGAAAUAAAGGGAGAGAGUUAAGCAGAGGUGGAAGUGAGGCGAUUCCUGCAUGCUAGAGCCAGAGACGGUCACCGGCAAUGCGGACGACGAGUGAUUUGGAACAGAGGUGUGCCUGGGCCAAAGGGCAGUCUGGUGGCAGCACAUAGGCUGGCUUGGACAAAUGAUUGGCUGAAGCCAAGGGAAUGGGUUGGGGGGGCUGGUACAGGAGGUCUGGGCAGGAGGUGAGGAGGGCCAGACAGACAGGGCUGGUAGAGCACAUGGGAAGUAAGGAGCAGCUAAUGCUCAAAGAAAGAAAAACAGGUAUAAUAUUAGUUACAGAUGGGCUGAGGGGUGCAGCUGGAGAGAGAUGGCUGAGGUUUGUAAGACCAGUGACAAGGAGUAAGAGGGUGCCAUGAGUGGAAAAAGAAGCUGGUGUGUGUGAGCACAUAAUGAGCUGUAUUUUUUGCUGGAUUUGAGGUGCUGUGGGGACAUCUAAGUGGAAACAUCCCACAGCUGGAAAUUUGGAACUGGAAGCCAGGAAAGAAGUUGGAACUAGAGCAACAGAUUCAGGAGACAAGAGCCUGGAAGUGAGCCCUGGGUGUGCACUGGCCCCAGAGGGAAGCUGCGUGGAGCAAGAGAAGACAGGAUUUGGUGAAGAUAUGCAGAAGCCAUCUCUGAGAAGACUUACAAGGUACUAGAGAAUCAUGAAAUCUGAAAUGAAUCCUGAGGCGUGUGAUGUCAGAAAGAUGGCAGAAUAGGAAAUUUCUACUGUCAUCCCCUCACAGAAUGUUGAUUUGACAAUCACGCAUGGACAAAAGUACCUUUUUGGGAGUCCAGGAGUCCAGCGGAGAAGGUCCAACAGAAAAAUCUGAGCCUGGAUGCAUUGAAAAGGCGCCCAGAGGUUCAUUGUCUUCUGUGCAUCUGGACCCAACCAGCCAGGUGCGGGUUUUCUGCCUGCCACUGCUGCCAGAACAGCUCCAUCCCCCAUAAGAACAGGGCACCCCGGAGGCCCCCUCAGAAUGUCUGCUCUUGGAAGAAUCGUCUGCAGCUUUAUCCUGCAUCUCCUGUAACGCUCCAUCCUCUCCACACUUCUGCUCUCUUCACGACAUGCCAUGGAGCAAAGCAGGUCUCUGUGAAGAGUCUGGUCCUAUUAUUAUACGGAAGUAGUGGUGUGCUGGUGAAUGUUUAACAACCAGCUUUCCAGGAAAAAAAAAGCCCUCAUCUGCAGAGUUUGCCAGUUUCCAUGGUGUAAAUACUCCCACCACGUCGGUUCCAGGCUCCAGCCUCCAUCACUGAGCCGAGUUGCAAGAGAUACGGCUGGGGAGAGGAUGUGAGCCGGCUGAAGCAGGUCCCGGUCUAAGACCUCUUGCUGAGGGGACCCCAGGGGACAGAGCCCGCAAGCUGGGGACUGAGGGUCGUCGUGGAGCCGUUCAGAGGCAGGGCAGGUUCUCUGGAAACAGGCUCGGAGAUGGAAUGGGCAGGAGGCGGCGUUGGGCAGGGAGAGGAGGGAGAAGCCAACUGUUGUCCUCAGAGUUGUCCUGUGUCCUGUGUCCCAGGCUGAGACAGCUGGGCCGGGGCCAGCCUCAGGAUGGACCCCGAAGUUGCUGGCAGUGGGGCUUCUCUGCUGACAUGCUCCCCUUCUUCAAAGGGAGACCAGGCGGGGUGGGUGUCUGAGUCCUUCAAAGGGGACUCAGACACCACCCGUCGGAGCGUGAGCCCCUCAACGAGGCUGGGCUCGGCCUUCAGCUGGACCUCUGUCAGCCCGUGCCUGUCCGCAGACGAUCUCCUGGAGCAGCCUGCCCCUCAGCUGGGCCCCGCCUGUCCCCAUCCUCGGGCUCAGCCCCGCAGCCUCCUUCCUGAAUCCCACGCAGGUGCCACUCUGCUUGGCCUGCUGCUUGGCCAGGCCUGGACGUUCCCACUACAUCUUCCCCGGGCGUCCGACCGCAGCUGCUUCGGGGUUCUGGCCUCGCUCCUCAGUGCUGGCAGCUUGUGGUGAGGCUGUCCUGCUGGGCAGACAGGGCGGACCCUGGGCUUGGGCUCUGUGCGGGGGACUCGGGCCUGCUCUGUGCAUGGGUGGGGCAGGCGAAGGAAGCCACCCCACCUGUCCAAACCAGACUGAGGAGAAGAAGCAGAUUUGGCCCGACACCACGGGAGCCGGAGUGACCGCAGAGCUCUGUGGUUUACCCUGAUUUUCUUACAGGACACGGUGACAUGCAGGCAGUACUGACGUCCCAGAGUCCCACGGCUGGUUAGGGACAGAGCAGGGACCAGAGCUCGGCCCAGAGCCAUGUCUGUGCAUCCUGCUUCCUGAAGCCCGAGUGUCUCCUGAGCCGUAGUCCCCUUCCCUCCCCUAGACAGUGUGUGUGUUUAGAAAUGGCCUCGUUAGCAGAUUUUAUAGGCACCUUCGUUAGCUCCUCCGAGAGCUCGCCCCGUUCUGGCAGGUGGCCUGUUUGAGGAGGAAUUAGCCUGCCUGCCAGCUGGGUGUUGGAUUUACAUGCGAGCUGGGCCACGGGGAAAUCAUCUGGAAUAGCUAAGGGACUCACCAGACUCCUCAGGCUACAGGGCAGAUGCGCCGCGAGCAUGUUUUCUGCCUUACGGCGUGUCUGGGCCUCAGCCUGUGUCCUUGGGGAGGCAGCCCCUGCGGGGCCUCCAAGAAUUUUUCUUCUGGCCCAGGCCCCGUGGGUCUUGCCCCCCCGACUUGUACAGGCCCCAUGGGUCUCGCCCCCCGACUUGUAUUUGCCACUUCAUCCUCUUUUAGCAAAUAUUGUACCUAAAAGAAUGAAGUAAUUUGCAUAUAGUAUUUAGUUAUUUUUGAACUUUCUGGUUUUUCUCUGUGAUAGUUUAUUUUACAGAUAACACAUAUUUCUUAUCUUUCUAAUGUAUUCUUUUUGGUAAUUUUAAUCUAUUUAUUUAAGCGAUUUCCCCAUCAGUGAUGAGUAAGAGGUCCAGGCUCCAUGUGGGGAGGGGAAGGGAUGUCCAUCUGCUGCUGCAGACCAUGCCCUAAGCGGGAGGCUGUGGGAUUCUGGGCACCCCCAGCUGUGCCAGGCCCCUCAACUCUGCUUCAUUGAAUUCUCCUUCUCUUUUUUAGGCAAAUGCUUUGAUUCAAAAACAGCCAGCAGUGAUGGGUUGGCAAAGCCUCCUCAGCCUACACAUAGCGGGUACAAAACAGUUAAAUACCCCAACUGGGGAGUGGACGGGAGGUGCAGGGAGGUGUCAGAUGAGAAGUAUCAGUGAGUCGGGGAAGCCUGAGGAAUGGUAGGAAGUUGUUUUGUUGUCAGCGACAGCAACCAAACGGGAAGUUUCUUUCUUCCCACCAAAAUGCAAGAGUCAUAUAUCAACACCCACCCCCACUCCCAAAUCACAGGACAAAACGAAGCCUGUGAAUAGAGACGCCAUCUCCCAGCUAACAAGCCGCUGCGGUUGGACUGGCUGGACCGCGGAGGAGCCGGCCCCUGGAAGGGAGGAGAAGCGCUGUGCAUUUCAACAUCGUACAGGUCUUGCUUUCACCAGAACCUAGAAAGAUAGUUGAUGGAAACGCAGCACUUAAAAAUGCAGCUUUGAAGAAUGGCAGGCAAUGAAAUGAAAGGUACCCUGUGACUGCUGUUAAAAAUCCCUAUUCAGAGAAGCACCAGACAGUAGGAAAGGAGCGAUGUACCUGAGCCACACCAAGACAGAGGCGUUUACCCCAGCCAGGUCCAGUCUCCUAGUGAGGAGAAUUAACCGUUAGUAACAGAACUCUACUGUGUGUGAAUUGUAGCCUGAUACGUGAAGAAUUAUGCUUAAGUUAGCCCUUUAGUCAAUUGUAUGCUUUUCUCAUUCUUUCCUGUAUAGGUUCAAUCAUUCUUAGCGCUUUAUUUUGGGAAAGAGCCUGUAUUAGUCUGCUAGGGCUGCUGUAACAAAGACCAUAGCCUAGGGGCCUUAAACCACAGAAAUUUAUGUUCUCACAAUCUGGAGGCUGGAAGUCCAAGAUCAAGGUGUCACAGGGUGGUUUCUCCUGAGGCCUCUGACCUUGGCUGGGAGAUGCCACCUCCUCCCUGUGUCCUCACACGGUUGUCCCUCUGUGUGUCUGUGUCCUAAUCUCUUCUUCUUAUAAGGACACCAGUCUGAUUGGAUUAAGGCCCACCUAACUGAACUCUGACCUUUACAGAGGUAACCUAAUUACCUCUGUAAAGAUCCUGUUUCCUGCUAUGGUUAUGUUCUGAGGUGUUGGGGGUUAGGGCUUCAACACAUGAAUGUGGGGGAACAUAAUUCAACUCAUAAUAGGACAUUUCUGGACAUUGUUAAGAAUGGGUACCUGGUCUGGCUAUGCCCAAGUGACAAUUUCUGACAAAAUUCUGGAGUCCAGGCUGUGUAGAACAGAUAAGUUAAUGCCCCUUAAAGAAUACUGCCUUAUCAAAGCUUAUUCCUUUCCAAACCUAAAUCCAUUAACUUAGAUACACCAGAGGACACAAAGACCGAAGCUCCUCCCAAUUGGGUAAUGGGCUUAGUGAUGGUACAACAUGACUGUGCUUCUUACACCUCCCACUGUCCAGUCCUGCAAUGAGGAGAUGUAUGGUCCAAACCCACUGUCUCCAUUCUCUGACCUCAAAUUCAUGCUCGAUAUGAAUAUUUGUCAGAUUUAACUAUGACAUUCUCUGUGCAGAGGCUGGGUUUUCCACGCCUGAUCCUGUGAUCAGUGUCACGGCUGAUCCUGUGAAGGAGCUGGCACCUGGCGUUAGAGCUCCCGGGUGUGAUUGUGUCAUGGAAGUGAGGUUGCAGAUCUUGCUAGAAUGAUCUCCAAUAUCCAUUCUCUUCUUCUCAGUACUAACAGAAUCCAAUUUUAUUUGGGUUUAGUAGUAUGCCCACUUAUAAAAGCUACACCUCGGAUCCUCCCAUCCUAGGUAAGAAUGACGAUGUAAUAUAGUUAUGGCUAAUGAGGUAUAAAUGGAGGGUAUAAGGUGAGCUUCCGGUUUUCAGAAAAGCAGUUUAAAGGGAGCUAGCUACCUAAGGCAGUCUGCUCCUUUUGCUCUUUGCCCUUCAUCCUUCUUCCUGUCUAGAACACGGAUGUGAUGGCUGGAGUCCCAGCAGCCAUCUUAUAAGCAUGAGCGUGGAGAUAGUAGAGUGGAAAUCUAUACAGGACCUGGGUUCCUCAUGAAUUGGGGAACUAUUAUGCCAGCUCUCGCCCACCCUCCUCUGAUUUCUCCUCUUGAGAGAGAAAAAAAACAAGGCCCCAGGGCUGCUGGUAUCUGCAGUGGCUCCUCCUGGACCACAGUGUAAAGUGUCCUCCCUGGCGUAAGCCACCCAGUGGUCCUGUAAACCCUUACCUUGUUUAAGCCAGCAUUUUGGGGCUCUCUUCCCUACCACCAAAUGUUAUGGGUAACCAGUGCAGGUGGGUACAGUGAUUAGAAUCAUCCCCUUGUUCUCCCUGGAUGUGUACAGAGCAUCUUCUGAAAACCUCUGUGAAAUCCUCCUUUAGGUAUGAGUACUCCCAGAAAAAAGCUGAGGUUUACCUGGGUUCACACACACCUCCAUCACUGGUUAGCUGUGUGACCUCAGGUAAACUGCUUCACCUCUGAGCCUCACUUUGUCGAGUGCUCUCUCUCAGGAUCAUUGUGAGGACCAGGGAGAUAUGUACGUAAAACACCUGGCUCUGUCCUUGCACUCAGCAGAUGGCCCUCCUGUUGUGACGACAUCCCUUGUCCCCUCUAGAGGACGACUCACAUCCAGGUGUCCAGGUCUGACUUUUCCUUUGGGUGCUCUUCCUGUGUCUCUCUCUAGCUUCCUGCAGGACAUUUCCAGUUAGCUCUCCUGUGUCCCUUCCAGUCCAGUCCCCAGCCACCCUCUCUCUGACGAUAAUCACUGUCUAUCCUGUAUCUCAUCCUGUAUCCUGCCUGUUCGUUCAACUUGACACUCCAUGUCACGCCGUGGACCAUGCCACAGCACACCAGACCACACCAUAGCACGCCACACUGUGUGAACCCACCCCAGGGACACUAUACCACACCACACCAUGACACCUCACAUCCUGCUGCCCCAUGCCAUUCUAUACGGUGCCACAGCACACCACGCCCUACCACAGCCUAGCCCAGACGGAAAUUCAGCCUUUUUGGUAGCUUUCAUAACUCCCUCUGCCUUCACGGAAAAAAAACUCACCAAGGCCUUUGCGUGGGUAGCAGACUUUACCGAAGAUUUGGGGGGACAGAACAAUUUUUGUUCCAUAGAGGUUUCAUAUGAAAAAAAAAAAAUUGCUCAAGUGUUUCAUUACUUGUAACAUUUCUGGAAGCUUCUCAAGAGUCUGCCUUUCUGGCCCUUCUCACCUUGGUCUUCUGUGGGUGUACCAUCAGUUCCUCUAAUCUUUCCUGGUCAGUGAUUUUUGGGGCCCUUGAUGAACUCUUUGAUCUCCUCCUGGGGAGCUGGUGCAGUCACCAUCACUCAUUGCCUAGAUAAUGAAAUUCCCGGCUUUAUUCCCAGCCCCAAACUCCUAAAAUCAUUCAGAUUCCUGUGGAAGGAAUCAUUCCUUCCACAGUUUCACCAAGUGCAUCGGCUGUCCGUGGGACCUGAGGUCUGCUAGGAAAGAGGCGACCCUCGCGUCCCCCUCCUGCUUACACAAGCGCUUGUGCUCACACAGUGAUGUGUGCAGGGUAAAGCCAGCAUGCUUGGCUCCAGCUACCGCCCAAAGCCCCCUUGUCCACCCCGCUCGAUUUUCCUGUAAGACUGAGGUAGAGCGACUUUUUCCCAUUACACAUACGAAAAUCACAGUGUCUUCAGUGACUGGCAGACUCAACUGCUUCUUCCCAAGGUGGGAAAUUCUCUUCGCCACCCACUCAUUUGCCGUUAAACGCCAUGGGUUGGUGGUAGGAGAGAGAAGACAUUUACAGAGCAGCGGGGAGCCUCCGGGUGUGUGAGGCCAGCCCCCCCCCACCUCCCUACCCACCCCUCCCAGCUCCACGUCCUGCGCCUGGAGCAGUGAAGCUGGGUCCCUGAGCAGCAGACUAGCCAGGUCCCCCCUGAUGCUGAUAGAUUUCGAUCUAUUUCCCAUUGUAUUGACUUCUUCCUACAAGGCACCUCCCCGUCAUGCUGUCAGGAGCCUGAGGGUGCUGCCUGACUGUGGAACUGUGAAAAAAGGGGGAGAGCUCAGUUGUCUGUAAUCUCACAAUAGGAGAAACUCCCUCAGGACACGUGGUGAUGUCAUCGAGAGGCACAUAAAGGAGAGGCUCAUGUCUGGGGCAGGCCCAGGGUUGACGGGGAGAGAAACCCAGGCUCCCAGAUUCUCAAGACAGGCGGCCGUUCACUGACAGCCAGACGACCCCGAAUCCAGGGAUCCUCAUCCGCCUCUUGGGAGUAGGCGGCUGGCACCUUCUCCCCAAAGUCUGAGAGGACGGGCCAGCCAGUUUCUGUGGUUGUCUUUGGGAGCUAACUGACCGCUGUCUUGCUGCGGCCCAAGAGCAGGGUUCCUGCUGGGAUUUCUGCAGGAGGCGGCAGGGUCUCGGUACCCAGGGACAAAGGAGUUUGGAGGAGGUGGUUUGGGGCUGCUCUCCAAGCUGGCGUAGAAGUUUCUCAGGCGGAUACAGGAGGAGUUGCAUCCCGGGCCGCGGGAAUGUGCGCAGAGGCAGGAGCUCUGGCGGCAAGGCCCGCCCAGAUUGCCAGAGUCCUGCUAGGGCAUCUGGGUGGGUCAGGAAAGGCCCAGAACACGAUCUGUGGAGAAUAGCUAUUAUCCUGAAAGUGACAGGCAGUCUCAGAAGACGUUAAUGCAGGGGAUGGCUGGAAUUGUGUCUUAGAAAGAUCCCCUGCAGGUGGUACCUUGGCCAUGACCCAUGGGAGACCCUGGGGAUACUUGAGAAGCAGGUGUAGCCCCAGCCAGGUGGAUCCCCAGACCCCCAGGUAAGAAGAACCCCAGCCAGCUGGAGCCUCAGUAGGAAGGACUCCCAGGUAGGAGGAGCCCCAGGCAGGAGGAACCCCAGGCAGGUGGAGCUGGCCUGAACCCACCAUAGCUCCCUGUACCUUAUGAGGGUGCAGGAACUAAGCUGACUGUCCUUUAACAAGCAUCACAGUCCGACGUCGUGGUUUAGUGAUGGGGCUUUUUCUCUGAAGAGCCCUUCCUCUUCUUUCCCCCUCACUGAAUAUCUCACACAUUUCUAGCUUAGUAUGUGAAUCAUGUGGGGUUCAUUUUGAAGUGAGUGUGACUACAAUUUCGCUUGGCUCUGGAGGGUCUCCAUGCCCCGGAAGCAGCUUAGCGGGCUUGUGUGAACUUCAAGGACGGGCUCCCUCUGGUUGCACAGAGCUGAGAUUUCUCCUGCAGCCACACUGACGUCUUGUCCCCUUGUCACCGGGCCUUCCUGUAUUCCCUGCAUUGGAGUCAGCGGUUUUACAGAUGAGGCAAGCGUGCAGUGGGCUGUGGCAUUGCAGGGCUGCGCUCCCAGGACCCCAGGGGCCUGAGUGCCCUGUUGUGAACCUCCAGUGGCGAACAUCACUCAGCCUCUGCUCCUCUCCUCUAACUUUGUCCCUCUUGCAGGGAUCGCAGUGCAGCAUUCCUUACUGUCUGGCAAGGUAUUUUGGAAUGUAGUUCCCAGAGCCAGUCCACACUAGUGUUGGGACAAGUAAAAAAUGCACAGUGCCAGCAGACGUCCAAAUGGGGGAACUAGUGCAAACAGAUGACUAUAAAAUAAAAGUUAUGUCAUGAACAUAGUGGAUGAUGGAAUCGUGGAAAUGGGAAUCUGAACGUCUAAAAUACAGAAUUGGUAUUGAAGGGAAUGUAGCUCUAUUUCCAGGCUCCGGAGUCCUCCCCUUUCGUGCCCCUCUGCCUUCCCCACCCCCAUCAGUUAUUGCUUGGAGAGAAACUUGGGUGACUGGUUUUAAUGAAUAAGAUGGGAGUGAUUGGAAAUUUGCAUACCAAUGACUUUCAUGCAAAUAGGUGCUUUUGGAGUGAUUGCAAAAUUUAUUCUCUUAAACAUUUUAAACCCUCUCUUACAGUGUGGUUUCUGACAGUAAAAACUGACUUAGGACAAUAAAAAAAGGGGGCAUUUUUUUGCUCCCUUUCUUUGCACCUGGCAAGGGCAAAUUUCAGCCUAUCCUGGGGCCAGUGUUUUCCAAUUAAGAAUGAAGAGAGUCAGAUUUAACUUGGAAAAAUGUAUACAGUGUUUUUAUUUCUGAUCACAUAAAAAGUACAUAUACAGCAUGAAAAAUUAGGAAAAUAAUAAAAGUAGAAAGAUGAAGGUAAAAUCAACUGUACUAUAGCUCUUUCUCUUUACAUAUGUAAAAUUUUUCAGCAGAAAUAUGGGCAUAGUGGACUUACUGUUCUGUAAUUUUUUUUCACACUUAGUGAUUUAUUGAGAACAUUUCCCCAUGCCACUAAAUAUUCUUUAACGGUAAGGUUUUUAUUAAUUGUAUACUGGUGGCAUUGUGACACUUUCAUUUGUUUCACCGUGCCCCAGUUUUGUAUUUUUAAGUGGUUUCCAGUCG